UACAGAGGUCUCAAGCGUUGUUCGGAUUCAUUGGGCGUAAAGGGUGUGUAGGUGGCGCGCUAAGUCGGGUGUGAAAUUUCGGAGCUUAACUCCGAAACUGCAUUCGAUACUGGCGUGCUUGAGGACUGGAGAGGAGACUGGAAUUCAUGGUGUAGCAGUGAAAUGCGUAGAUAUCGAGAGGAACACCAGUGGCGAAGGCGAGUCUCUGGACACUUCCUGACGCUGAGGCACGAAAGCCAGGGGAGCAAACGGG
Molecule: ribosomal RNA, 253 nt
Filed under: uncultured bacterium
Lineage: Bacteria
Description: partial 16S ribosomal RNA
Rfam family: Bacterial small subunit ribosomal RNA
Source: RNAcentral